GAUGAACGCUGGCGGCGUGCCUAAUACAUGCAAGUCGAGCGAACGGACGAGAAGUUUGCUUCUCUGACGUUAGCGGCGGGGGGGUGAGUCACACGUGUAUACCCCCCUUAUCUGUCUGGGAUAUCUUCGAGAAACCGGCGCUAAUACCGGAUAAUAUUUUGAACCGUGUGGUGCAUAAGUGAAAGACGGUCUUGGUGUCUCUUCUAGCUGGUUCCGCGCUGCAUUAGCUAGUUGGUACGGUAACGGCUUACCAAGGCAACGAUGCAUAGCCGACCUGAGGGGGUGAUCGGCCACACUGGAACUGAGACACGGUCCAGGCUCCUACGGGAGGCAGCAGUAGGGAAUCUUCGGCAAUGGGGGGAAGCCUGACGGAGCGGCGCCGCGUGAGUGAUGAAGAUCUUCGGAGCGUAAAACUCUGUUAUUAGGGAAGAACAUAUGUGUAAGUAGCUGUACAGAGCGUGACGGUACCGAGUCAAAAAGCCACGGCUAACUACGUG
RNAcentral lists this ribosomal RNA (497 nucleotides) under uncultured bacterium. RNAcentral's name for it is "partial 16S ribosomal RNA". It matches the Rfam family "Bacterial small subunit ribosomal RNA", at positions 28 to 507 of the family's 1533-position model. The record is from RNAcentral.